AACAGAAUCGUUAAUUUACUCACUUAGAUCUAUUCAACGGGCAGAGGUAUCAGUCAAAGUUCAAGGAGCAGGAGGUAUGGUGCUCUCGGAAUCAACCCAAGAGCCCCAGACCUU
Long non-coding RNA from Rana temporaria (common frog), 114 nucleotides. RefSeq lists it as uncharacterized. The record is from RefSeq and is a predicted model, not a curated record. The transcript is spliced from 2 exons. Lineage: Eukaryota; Metazoa; Chordata; Amphibia; Anura; Ranidae.